GUGGGGAAUAUUGGACAAUGGGCGAAAGCCUGAUCCAGCCAUGCCGCGUGUGUGAAGAAGGUCUUCGGAUUGUAAAGCACUUUAAGUUGGGAGGAAGGGCAGUAAGUUAAUACCUUGCUGUUUUGACGUUACCGACAGAAUAAGCACCGGCUAACUUCGUGCCAGCAGCCGCGGUAAUACGAAGGCUGCAAGCGUUAAUCGGAAUUACUGGGCGUAAAGCGAGCGUAGGUGGUUUUGUAAGUUGGAGGUGAAAUCCCCGGGCUCAACCUGGGAACUGCCACCAAAACUGCAUGACUAGAGUACGGUAGAGGGUAGUGGAAUUUCCUGUGUAGCGGUGAAAUGCGUAGAUAUAGGAAGGAACACCAGUGGCGAAGGCGACUACCUGGAAUGAUACUGACACUGAGGUGCGAAAACGUGGGGAGCAAACAGGAUUAGAAACCCUGGUAGUCC
RNAcentral lists this ribosomal RNA (450 nucleotides) under uncultured bacterium. RNAcentral describes it as "partial 16S ribosomal RNA". It matches the Rfam family "Bacterial small subunit ribosomal RNA", at positions 354 to 796 of the family's 1533-position model. The record is from RNAcentral.